This 52-nucleotide transfer RNA is filed under the name Tetraselmis striata. Its description in RNAcentral is "partial tRNA". The record is from RNAcentral. Lineage: Eukaryota; Viridiplantae; Chlorophyta; Chlorodendrophyceae; Chlorodendrales; Chlorodendraceae.
GGUAGAGCGGUGGUCUCCUACUCGGGAGGUCCCCGGAUCGAUUCCCGGCUCU